GACGAACGCUGGCGGCGUGGACUAGGCAUGCAAGUCGAACGCGAAAGAGGGGGAAACCCUCGAGUAGAGUGGCGAACGGGUGAGUAACGCGUGAAGAACCUGCCUUCAACAGGGGGAUAACACUCCCAACGGGGUGCUAAUACCGCAUGAGACCACGGGUCUGCAUGGACCUGAGGUCAAAGGUGGCCUCUGCUUGCAAGCUACCGGUUGAAGAUGGCUUCGCGUCCCAUAGCUAGUUGGCGGUGUAACGGACCACCAAGGCGACGAUGGGUAGCUGGUCUGAGAGGAUGGGUCAGCCACACUGGGGACUGAGAUACCGGCCCAGACUCCGUACGGGAGGCAGCAGUCGAGAGGCCUCGGCAAAGU
Molecule: ribosomal RNA, 366 nt
Filed under: uncultured bacterium
Lineage: Bacteria
Description: bacterial SSU rRNA
Rfam family: Bacterial small subunit ribosomal RNA
Source: RNAcentral